GGUUGAUCCUGCCAGUAAUCAUAUGCUUGUGUCAAAGAUUAAGCCAUGCAAGUCUUAGUACAGGUGGAAAAAGAACCGAAACUGCGGAUGGCUCAAUAAAUCAGUCUCAAUUAAUUUAGUGAUUAGAAAGAUAAAAGGAUAACCCUGCUAAUUGUAGAGCUAAUACAUGAAUAAAACGCAUAACUUUUAAAAAAAAGGAAUGUGGCAUUUGUCAGCUCGAUAAAGGAUAGAAAUAUGUAAAAAUAUUUUAAAACUUGUUAUUUAAAAAGUAAUACAUAGGAAGCAAAAAAGAA
This 293-nucleotide ribosomal RNA is filed under the name uncultured eukaryote. Its description in RNAcentral is "partial 18S ribosomal RNA". It matches the Rfam family "Eukaryotic small subunit ribosomal RNA", at positions 6 to 305 of the family's 1831-position model. The record is from RNAcentral.